UAAACACAGCUUAGAAAAUAAUCGUAAAUGCCGCUUUAUUAUCGUAUAUGUAAUUGAAGUUAGAAGUGUGCACAUACCUUACUAUUAUAUAUAGAAUGAGCAAAUACUGUUUAUCAAUAUCAUUCAGUAAUAUAUUCUGGACGUUUUGCUUACAACGAAAUGACGAAUGCGAAUAGUUUGUUGAAAUAAACAAAGUCUUGUUAUAAUAUGUCAUUAUCAACUGUUAUCAAGGCGUCACGGUGGUCACCCGUGACCACCAAUAAGAUAAAUGGUCCAUUGGGGAAAAAUGUUAUCUUACAUCAUCAAUUUAUUAUUAUUUUGCCAUUAUAACUUUGAAUAAUAAAAAUACUUCCGUGGCGUCCUGAGCAAAACAUGUGAUAUCGGCGUGGCAGUCAAAGUGUUAAACUUCGGAUUACUUAAUUUAUUAUUUGCUUAGAUAAAGUGUCGAACGAUAAUGUAGUCUGUCUCGAAAUUUUCCAUUUCUUCAAAUGAAAUAUAACUAGGAUUGCUUCGUCGCAUCAUCCUCUUUUCUAUCAAGAAUUAUCUCGUAUCAACGUCAAGGUAGAUAAAUUUUCUAAUUUGCAUUUUUUCCAUCCAUAUGUCUCCCUCAAAUAGAAUCUAAUUUUAACUAUUUAUAUGCAUCCUUCUAUAUGCUAAAAGGUUAUCUAGCCAUAAAUAAGUAAGUGGACAAGUAAAUACAAAACCGACGACGUCCCCUUCCUAUUUAGAAAAAUAUUUGUAGAACAGAGGUUCUACACUUCGUAUCUACGAUUUUAGUCCCGGUCAGUGCACACACGAUCUUUAACACGACUACCGACACGAAGAGGGAAGGCGGUUCUGGGCAGAGCGUAUAGGAAACGAGACAUUUUGCGGAGAAUUCUAACCCCAGCGACUUUCCACGGAAUUACUUGGCGGCCGUGCACGUAAUUGUUAACGGUGCUGGCAGUUUUCACAGAAGGGAAAUAGGAUUGAGUUUACCUUUGACGUACAAACAGAGCUUUCAACGGAUUUUAAUCACAUACGCCGUGUCGGCUUCCAUGGAAGCGGAUGCUUACACGUCGGCCGUUUUUACGCGUGUCCAAUUUCUACGGGGUUCUGCCUGUCGAAUCCGAUACCGGGGAACCUUGUCGGACGCGAUAGCCACAUCGAGGGAAAUACGUAAACGGAAAAAUAUAUUAGAAUCGCUGGAACGAAUAAUUUCUCACGUUUCAACGGUCGUAUUGGUUUUAUAUACAAUUUACUGAAACGUAUCAACGAGAUGGAAUUACCGAGGUAAGCGAGCCAAGCGAACAUAUCUGAUUUUUUCGAUCAUGACAACGAUGGCGAUUUUUCAAAACGUCUGAACGUUAUUCUAAGAAGAAUCGCAAUAAUAUACCAAGGACAAUUCUAAGAGAAAAGGCAAUUCUGCACGUCGUUUUCAACCGUACGAUGGUUGCAUGCAAAACAGAUUUAAAACUGGAUACCAGUUCAUUUCUGCUGAAACACCGGAAUCAGAGAGUUUCAUUCCCUUUGUUUCUCGUUGGCCAUAUUUGUCCUUUUCUCGUUUCCUUCUGUAUCUUCUUCGCCUUUUCUUUUGUUUUUUUACCUUUUUCCCUUAACUGCUUUCCGUUCUUUUAUCUUUUUCUUUUCCUUCUCUUCUUUCUCAUUUUCAUCCUUCCGAGUUAUUCUAUAAAUCGAACAUCGUGAAACGAUCUCAGCUAUUUUUUUACAAAUAGACAAAAAAAAUUUUCACGUUACACGUUGAUCCUAGGGGUUAACUGAAGUGUUCUAUUCAAUCAUAAAAGUAGCUAAAUUUCAUUUUUGGGAUUCACUUAUUGUUUCGACGGUACAGCGUGAUCUCAAACGAAGACAAUAUGCAUUGAUAAUAAUAACGUUGAUAUAAUAUAACAAUAUUUAGGUAUUUUUCAAUGUUUGGUUUCAUACACGAAAUAUUUCACUAUGUCUGAAUUAAAGAUUUCUAAUUUAUAUUUCUAUAUGUGUUCAUGUCAAAUGUUCGUGCUGACUAUUCACACGCAUUUACGUUACAUAUAGUCAAAACAUAUAUUAAUGUAUAACAACGUUUGCUAAUUUCAGUUGACUUACCGUGUAUUAACCCGGUACAUAUUAAUGUAGCUGCGUAUUAUUCCGUAGCCAUGCUUUGUUGAUAUAAUGUUUUCAAUCUGAACACGUAUUAACGUGUGUAAUUUCAAAUUACACGUGUGAACCAUUUCAAUGUGUCUGCAUGUUUGUCUCCAUAUUUCAAUACGUGUAUACAUUUUAAUUGAAAUGAAUAUAUUUCUCCGUUA
Molecule: long non-coding RNA, 2285 nt
Organism: Bombus impatiens (common eastern bumble bee)
Lineage: Eukaryota; Metazoa; Arthropoda; Insecta; Hymenoptera; Apidae
Exons: 2
Source: RefSeq, a predicted model, not a curated record